Molecule: ribosomal RNA, 396 nt
Filed under: uncultured bacterium
Lineage: Bacteria
Description: bacterial SSU rRNA
Rfam family: Bacterial small subunit ribosomal RNA
Source: RNAcentral
GAUAGGUGCCAGCCGCCGCGGUAAUACGGAGGGUGCGAGCGUUAAUCGGAAUAACUGGGCGUAAAGGGCAUGUAGGCGGUAAGUUAAGUCAGAUGUGAAACUCCCCGAGCUUAACUUGGGAACGGCAUUUGAGACUGGCUGGCUAGAGUUUUGUAGAGGGGGUAGAAUUCCAGGUGUAGCGGUGAAAUGCGUAGAGAUCUGGAGGAAUACCGGUUGCGAAGGCGGCCCCUGGACAAGGACUGACGCUGAGGUGCGAAAGCGUGGGUAGCAAACAGGAUUAGAUACCCUGGUAGUCCACGCUGUAAACGAUGUCGAUUUGGAGGUUGUGGCCUAGUGUUAUGGCGUCCGAAGCUAACGCGAUAAAUCGACCGCCUGGGGAGUACGGCCGCAAGGUUA